GCCGGCUUAGCUUAGUGGCAGUAGCGAUUCGCUCGUAACGAAUAGGUCGUCAGUUCAAUUCUGACAGUCGGCA
RNAcentral lists this transfer RNA (73 nucleotides) under Coemansia erecta. Its description in RNAcentral is "tRNA-Thr". It matches the Rfam family "tRNA". Rfam says of the family: Transfer RNA (tRNA) molecules are approximately 80 nucleotides in length. Lineage: Eukaryota; Fungi; Kickxellomycota; Kickxellomycetes; Kickxellales; Kickxellaceae. The record is from RNAcentral.